UACGAAGGGUGCAAGCGUUACUCGGAAUUACUGGGCGUAAAGCGUGCGUAGGUGGUUAGUUAAGUCUGAUGUGAAAUCCCCGGGCUCAACCUGGGAAUGGCAUUGGAUACUGGCAGGCUAGAGUGCGGUAGAGGGUGGUGGAAUUCCCGGUGUAGCAGUGAAAUGCGUAGAGAUCGGGAGGAACAUCUGUGGCGAAGGCGGCCACCUGGACCAGCACUAACACUGAGGCACGAAAGCGUGGGGAGCAAACAGG
RNAcentral lists this ribosomal RNA (253 nucleotides) under uncultured bacterium. Its description in RNAcentral is "partial 16S ribosomal RNA". It matches the Rfam family "Bacterial small subunit ribosomal RNA", at positions 524 to 776 of the family's 1533-position model. The record is from RNAcentral.